Molecule: ribosomal RNA, 426 nt
Filed under: uncultured Stenotrophomonas sp.
Lineage: Bacteria; Pseudomonadati; Pseudomonadota; Gammaproteobacteria; Lysobacterales; Lysobacteraceae
Description: bacterial SSU rRNA
Rfam family: Bacterial small subunit ribosomal RNA
Source: RNAcentral
GGGGAAUAUUGGACAAUGGGCGCAAGCCUGAUCCAGCCAUACCGCGUGGGUGAAGAAGGCCUUCGGGUUGUAAAGCCCUUUUGUUGGGAAAGAAAUCCAGCCGGCUAAUACCUGGUUGGGAUGACGGUACCCAAAGAAUAAGCACCGGCUAACUUCGUGCCAGCAGCCGCGGUAAUACGAAGGGUGCAAGCGUUACUCGGAAUUACUGGGCGUAAAGCGUGCGUAGGUGGUCGUUUAAGUCCGUUGUGAAAGCCCUGGGCUCAACCUGGGAACUGCAGUGGAUACUGGGCGACUAGAGUGUGGUAGAGGGUAGCGGAAUUCCUGGUGUAGCGGUGAAAUGCGUAGAUAUUAGGAGGAACACCGGUGGCGAAGGCGGCUUGCUGGACAAAUACUGACGCUGAGGUGCGAAAGCGUGGGGAGCAAACA